Molecule: ribosomal RNA, 521 nt
Filed under: uncultured bacterium
Lineage: Bacteria
Description: bacterial SSU rRNA
Rfam family: Bacterial small subunit ribosomal RNA
Source: RNAcentral
AGAGUUUGAUUAUGGCUCAGGAUGAACGCUAGCUACAGGCUUAACACAUGCAAGUCGAGGGGCAGCGGGAAGUUAGCUUGCUAACUUUGCCGGCGACCGGCGCACGGGUGAGUAACGCGUAUCCAACCUUCCCCUUAGUAGGGCAUAGCCCGUAGAAAUGCGGAUUAAUACCCUAUGUUAUUCGUCGAGGACAUCUGAAGUGAAUCAAAGGUUUACCGCUAAGGGAUGGGGAUGCGUCUGAUUAGGCAGCAGGCGGGGUAACGGCCCACCUGGCCGACGAUCAGUAGGGGUUCUGAGAGGAAGGUCCCCCACAUUGGAACUGAGACACGGUCCAAACUCCUACGGGAGGCAGCAGUGAGGAAUAUUGGUCAAUGGUCGAGAGACUGAACCAGCCAAGUAGCGUGCAGGAUGACGGCCCUAUGGGUUGUAAACUGCUUUUAUGCGGGGAUAAAGUGAGGGACGUGUCCCUUUUUGUAGGUACCGCAUGAAUAAGGACCGGCUAAUUCCGUGCCAGCAGCAGC